AUACGGAGGGUGCAAGCGUUAUUCGGAAUCACUGGGCGUAAAGGACGCGUAGGCGGGUUGGCAAGUCAGAUGUGAAAUCCUACAGCUUAACUGUAGAACUGCAUUUGAAACUGGCAACCUAGAGUAUGGGAGGGGGAGAUGGAAUUAGUGGUGUAGGGGUAAAAUCCGUAGAUAUCACUAGGAAUACCGAAAGCGAAGGCGAUCUCCUGGAACAUAACUGACGCUAAGGCGUGAAAGCGUGGGGAGCAAACGGGAUUAGAAACCCUAGUAGUCC
RNAcentral lists this ribosomal RNA (274 nucleotides) under uncultured bacterium. RNAcentral describes it as "partial 16S ribosomal RNA". It matches the Rfam family "Bacterial small subunit ribosomal RNA", at positions 523 to 796 of the family's 1533-position model. The record is from RNAcentral.